RNAcentral lists this ribosomal RNA (941 nucleotides) under Arthrobacter sp. RNAcentral's name for it is "bacterial SSU rRNA". It matches the Rfam family "Bacterial small subunit ribosomal RNA", at positions 552 to 1487 of the family's 1533-position model. Lineage: Bacteria; Bacillati; Actinomycetota; Actinomycetes; Micrococcales; Micrococcaceae. The record is from RNAcentral.
UAUUGGGCGUAAGAGCUCGUAGGCGGUUUGUCGCGUCUGCCGUGAAAGUCCGGGGCUCAACUCCGGAUCUGCGGUGGGUACGGGCAGACUAGAGUGAUGUAGGGGAGACUGGAAUUCCUGGUGUAGCGGUGAAAUGCGCAGAUAUCAGGAGGAACACCGAUGGCGAAGGCAGGUCUCUGGGCAUUAACUGACGCUGAGGAGCGAAAGCAUGGGGAGCGAACAGGAUUAGAUACCCUGGUAGUCCAUGCCGUAAACGUUGGGCACUAGGUGUGGGGGACAUUCCACGUUUUCCGCGCCGUAGCUAACGCAUUAAGUGCCCCGCCUGGGGAGUACGGCCGCAAGGCUAAAACUCAAAGGAAUUGACGGGGGCCCGCACAAGCGGCGGAGCAUGCGGAUUAAUUCGAUGCAACGCGAAGAACCUUACCAAGGCUUGACAUGGGCCGGACCGGGCUGGAAACAGUCCUUCCCCUUUGGGGCCGGUUCACAGGUGGUGCAUGGUUGUCGUCAGCUCGUGUCGUGAGAUGUUGGGUUAAGUCCCGCAACGAGCGCAACCCUCGUUCCAUGUUGCCAGCGCGUAAUGGCGGGGACUCAUGGGAGACUGCCGGGGUCAACUCGGAGGAAGGUGGGGACGACGUCAAAUCAUCAUGCCCCUUAUGUCUUGGGCUUCACGCAUGCUACAAUGGCCGGUACAAAGGGUUGCGAUACUGUGAGGUGGAGCUAAUCCCAAAAAGCCGGUCUCAGUUCGGAUUGGGGUCUGCAACUCGACCCCAUGAAGUCGGAGUCGCUAGUAAUCGCAGAUCAGCAACGCUGCGGUGAAUACGUUCCCGGGCCUUGUACACACCGCCCGUCAAGUCACGAAAGUUGGUAACACCCGAAGCCGGUGGCCUAACCCCUUGUGGGAGGGAGCUGUCGAAGGUGGGACUGGCGAUUGGGACGAAGUC